Non-coding RNA from Salmo salar (Atlantic salmon), 1856 nucleotides. The record is from RefSeq and is a predicted model, not a curated record. NCBI's taxonomy places the organism in Eukaryota, Metazoa, Chordata, Actinopteri, Salmoniformes, Salmonidae.
CAUCGGAGGUUAUAGGUCAUGGGGCAUCCUUGUACUGCUGGUCUGCUCUACUGGAGGGUACUGGAAACUGGUCACUCCCACACAACAAUAUAGUCAUCAGAACAUUCUAAUUAGGAAGGUUUAUGAUGGGGAUGAACAUUCUAAUUAGGAAGGUUUAUGAUGGGGAUGAACAUUCUAAUUAGGAAGGUUUAUGAUGGGGAUGAACAUUCUAAUUAGGAAGGUUUAUGAUGGGGAUGAACAUUCUAAUUAGGAAGGUUUAUGAUGGGGAUGAACAUUCUAAUUAGGAAGGUUUAUGAUGGGGAUGAACAUUCUAAUUAGGAAGGUUUAUGAUGGGGAUGAACAUUUCAGUCAAUUCUGCUGCAGACUAACCGACCCUUAUUAACCAGUUAGCGAACGGUUACAUUUUGUUCCAAAUUGUAAAAAUUAUGUGACCGACAGAAAAUAUUAUGCAUGCAUACACACAAUGGACUCUUUAAAAAAUAUAUUUUUUUUUAUGUGUGUGUAUGUGAGAUUAAUUGAAAUGUGAAACAAUAGCAAGCCUAUUGUCCACACAGCUAAAAGGCUAUAUUAUUGAACAACUACUGUAAUGAAGCAGCCAAAGAAAAGGACAUUUGCGGGAAAAUACUUUUGUAAAAAAAACACAAAGUUAGCGGUUUCAUGUGAUCGAGAUAAGAAAAACAUGGAGAGGGAAUCUAAAGAUGCAAAAACUAGGAUGGGUUGUUAAUAUGACUCCGGGCUGGGGUUGUUAAUAUGACCCCGGGCUGCUGGGGUUGUUAAUAUGACCCCCGGGCUGCUGGGGUUGUUAAUAUGACUCCGGGCUGCUGGGGUUGUUAAUAUGACUCCGGGCUGCUGGGGUUGUUAAUAUGACCCCCGGGCUGCUGGGGUUGUUAAUAUGACCCCCGGGCUGCUGGGGUUGUUAAUAUGACUCCGGGCUGGGGUUGUUAAUAUGACCCCCGGGCUGCUGGGGUUGUUAAUAUGACCCCCGGGCUGCUGGGGUUGUUAAUAUGACCCCCGGGCUGCUGGGGUGGUUAAUAUGACCCCCGGGCUGCUGGGGUGGUUAAUAUGACCCCCGGGCUGCUGGGGUGGUUAAUAUGACCCCCGGGCUGCCGGGGUGGUUAAUAUGACCCCCGGGCUGCCCGGGUUGUUAAUAUGACCCCCGGGCUGCCCGGGUUGUUAAUAUGAUGCCCGGGUUGUUAAUAUGAUGCCCGGGUUGUUAAUAUGACGCCCGGGUUGUUAAUAUGACCCCCGGGCUGCCCGGGUUGUUAAUAUGAACCGCCGGCUGCUGGGGUUGUUAAUAUGACCCCGGGCUGCUGGGGUUGUUAAUAUGACUCCCGCCGGCUGGGGUGGUUAAUAUGACCCCCGGGCUGCCCGGGUUGUUAAUAUGACCCCCGGGCUGCCCGGGUUGUUAAUAUGACCCCCGGGCUGCCCGGGUUGUUAAUAUGACCCCCGGGCUGCCCGGGUUGUUAAUAUGAACCCCGCCGGCUGGGGUUGUUAAUAUGACCCCCGGGCUGCUGGGGUUGUUAAUAUGACCCCCGGGCAGGUGCCUUUUUGUCUUCUGGACAACAAACGAAAGUUGAUUUAUGAAAACCAGUAGAAGAGGAGAAAAAUGCUGGUUUGAAUAUUUCAACGGCAUAUGAGUCUUUAUAAAAUUAAAAACAAUAUUGCCUCCCCGUUUCUAUGGGGAUUUUGACUUUGAAGCAAAGUGAGACAUUUCUCGUCAUAUGAAGUAAAACAUCACCCAGGUUUCCAACAAUUAAGUAUAUGAUUUCAAAAUGCACACCUUCUCCAGCUUAGAUGGUGGGUGAUGCGCUGAUAGCCUGCCUACCGUAUUGCCUAUCCAUUAAAAUAGGUGAAUG